AGGAGCCGAGCCCGGAGUGGAUCGAUGCCCCACGGUCUCCAAAGCAGCAGUUAAGAAUCGCUCCGCGCAUACGCACACAUGGCGGGCGGCGAGAACAGGCCUGAUCUGGUGUUGACCUUGGCCACAUCAAGGUCAUAGAGCAUCUUCGCAGCCUGAUGAUCUGGCGCUCUUUGGCUUUGACAUCCACAAUGAACACAAGGAAACUGAAGGUGGGAGGGAGUCCCAGGAAGCAUCGGUAGGAGAAAGGUGAAAUGCUACAGGGAAGGAGGCCAAAACCUUCUGCAGUAUCAACAGUUAACUGCAAAUAAGGCGUGGCACUGGGGAGCCAUUUGGGAACCAAAAAGGAAAACCUGAAGAUCUGAAAGAGGGUGGAAUCUGAUCCUUGAUGACCUCGUGGAACCACUGAAUUAGUCAACCUUGGUGCUGCUCCCUGACAACACUCCUUGUGAGAGAUAAGGAAACUGAGACCUGUGUUUACAAAGGUAGUGAGCACUAAAGCUGACUGCAAGGUCUGGACUCUUAGCCACGAUGCUCUGCAGCCUUUCAAGUGGAAAUAGUGGGGUUUUACUGAGUAGCAGGGCCUCGGCUAGCACCCAGUGUGCAUGCGCCUAACCAGGGCAUUACUUGGAGAACUGCACCUGCGAGAACCCACUCCUUUGCUGUCCUGUUCCGUGAUCACGAUAGCGUGCUAGCCCUUCUGGGGUGCCACCUUUCCUGUCGCCACUGUCCAAGACAGCCACCUAGCUGCCCAAGAAGACAUCAUUGAAGGUCCAGAAGGACCCUGUGGGCGGAGGCAUGUCCAGAGCCUGGAAACCAGACAAGCAGAGACGGAUGCCACCCCGAGCAAUCUGGAUGACGUAGUCCUGGGCCGUGAGGUUAAACCAGACACCCCUGCCCCAACCAAGGAGGAAGGAGACUGGGCGGAGUGUUGGGAUUUUCAAGCACUGGAUGAGGUACUGAGGGAAAAGAGGAACAAGUGGAGAUGAGGGAUUUCUGCUCUGCUCAAAUUCCUUCGUGGCUCCCCAGUGCGAUAGGGUCACGUCGAUUUUGGGCAGCUAGGUAGGUAUUCAGGGCCUUGUAUGGUCAGGCUCUGCUGUCUUCUCUAGCCUCUCCUCCUCAUUCUUUUAAUGGUUGUGGCUGCUCCCUUCCUUCUGGUCUCAAAAGGGUGUUCAGUGAGAACUGGUUCUCUGAGAUGUGUUCACUAUUUCUCAUUUAUGUGUGUGUGUGUGUGUGUGUGUGUGAAUUAUUCAAAUUAUAGGUUAAUCCUAUGCAGAUUUACAAUGCAUACUAAUCUUUUAAAGAUUUUAACGUAUCCUGCAAGCUAAUUUUUUAAAAUUUCUGUCCAACACAGUGAUCAUAAAUUUAUUUGAUCAUAGAAUCUGCUAUUAUGCGAAUGUCCGUUACUCUACUAGAAAGCAUACCCUUGAAAUAUACAUUGGGAAACAUCCAUUUAAAACCUCCUAGAGUUCAUCUAAAGUUAGAGAAGUUCCCUUUGAGCCAUGGGAAUCAGAGAAAAAAAACAUUGAGAAAGACUCUGGGUUGAACCACUCCAGGGCCGAAUACCAAAGAGAAAAUGAGGCUAAAAAUCCACAAAGAGUGAUUCACACACAAAUGAGCUGUUGGCUGCCUCUGUGGUGUUCUGAGUUGUUUGAGAAGUGCCUGGUGUCCACACCUAGAGUCAGGGCAGAGUGCUGAGCAUGAAGAAUGGGCUGCUGGUUCUUUUCUGGUAGCUUUUUAAAAAGUUGGGAACUGAAGAUAGAUUAUGCCAUCCCCAAAUAUGUCUCUUUGGAGGCAUAAGGACUAUUCUGAACAGCUUAUUUUGAGAAACUGCAGACACAGGAGAAGCUCUAAAAACAGUAUAAAUUACCCCUUUAUAAGGGAAAUUUACAUUACCAGGAAGAGAGCUACUAUAACCAGAGAUAACUUUUUGCUUGAGAGACUUAGAGCCAUGGCAGGGCAACCUUUGUUUACUGAACAUCUCCUCUUCUCACCUCCCCUGCUUUGAAGCCCCAGACCUCAACCCAUUCCUUAGCUCAGGAUGGUAUAUAAGCCUCAACCAUCUCAUAUCU
Long non-coding RNA from Mesoplodon densirostris (Blainville's beaked whale), 2069 nucleotides. RefSeq lists it as uncharacterized. The record is from RefSeq and is a predicted model, not a curated record. The transcript has 6 exons. NCBI's taxonomy places the organism in Eukaryota, Metazoa, Chordata, Mammalia, Artiodactyla, Ziphiidae.